Molecule: long non-coding RNA, 942 nt
Organism: Salvia miltiorrhiza (redroot sage)
Lineage: Eukaryota; Viridiplantae; Streptophyta; Magnoliopsida; Lamiales; Lamiaceae
Exons: 3
Source: RefSeq, a predicted model, not a curated record
GCUGCGUGAGUGUGGAGUGUGUGUUGAAGUUGUAGGAUUUAAGUUAGGGCAAGAGUUGGAAGUUUGGGCUUGGGCCUAGGGUUGGUUUUUAUUUAAUUGUUGGGCUCUUAUUUUAAAUGGGCUGGACUUCAUAUUUUAAAUUGCAUUAUUAAGUUGGGCCUGAUUAUUUUUUAUUAAAUCCCAACUCAAAUUUUAAUAAGAGCAUGCAUUUUAUAUUUUGAUUCAUUAGACCAACUAUUUUCCAAAUGAUUUUAUGAUAAUAAAUUCUUAAGAUUUAAACUACUAUUAUUAUUAUUUUAAAGUUCAAUUAGGCCCUUAUAUUUUAUUAUUUGAAUUUAUCUGACUAGGUGCGACGCGACUAGGACAUAACUUUUCAUUGAACUAUUCAAGUCAGUUAUCAAGUUCAAGUUUCAGGUGCGACGCGACUAGGACAUAACUUUUCAUUGAACUAUUCAAGUCAGUUAUCAAGUUCAAGUUUCAGGUGUGGGAUUUAUUUCAGUACAUGCUGUGGUUAAUCUUUGUCCAUUUUAAUAUUAUGUGUUUGCCAUAUGUGUUGUAAAUUCAGUUAUAUCGCUAGGGGCCCGCUCAAUGGGUCCAGGACUUCACCGUCCUUGGUAUGCCACAAUGCGAUUUCAUGUUACAGUUAGGGUUGCAACCUAUUCGCCAGGGGCCUGCUCAAUGGGUCCAGGACUUUAAAGUCCUUGGUAUGCCACCGUGCGAAUUUCAGUUAUCAGUACAGUGCAGUGCGUAUUUUGACGUUGGAGACGCGUGGAAGGUCGAAUGGGCGCAUCGAGAUUCAAGACAUUUAUCAAGUAGUUGAUUUGAUUUUCAACUAAUUUAAGUAUUUAAAGUUUUGCUUAGCACAAGUUUUACCUAAUACUUGGAUAUUUUGAUGACAUCUUUAUGUCAUGCUUUGAAAUAAGAGGUUGAUUGUCGAUUUUU